This 502-nucleotide ribosomal RNA is filed under the name uncultured bacterium. Its description in RNAcentral is "bacterial SSU rRNA". It matches the Rfam family "Bacterial small subunit ribosomal RNA", at positions 8 to 486 of the family's 1533-position model. The record is from RNAcentral.
AGAGUUUGAUCAUGGCUCAGAACGAACGUUGGCGGCGUGCUUAACACAUGCAAGUCGAACGAGAACGGUUCCUUCGGGAACUCAGUAAAGUGGCGCACGGGUGAGUAACGCGUAAGUAAUCUACCCUUGCAUUCGGGACAACUACGGGAAACUGUAGCUAAUACCGGAUACGUUCUCCUUUCUACGGAUUGGAGAAGAAAGAUGGCCUCUUCUUGAAAGCUAUCGUGCAGGGAGGAGCUUGCGUACCAUUAGCUAGUUGGUAGGGUAAUGGCCUACCAAGGCAACGAUGGUUAGCGGGUCUGAGAGGAUGAUCCGCCACACUGGAACUGAAACACGGACCAGACUCCUACGGGAGGCAGCAGUGAGGAAUAUUGCGCAAUGGGGGAAACCCUGACGCAGCGACGCCGCGUGGAUGAUGAAGGCUUUCGAGUCGUAAAAUCCUGUCAGAUGGGAAGAAAUGCAUAUGUGCUAAUACCACUUAUGUUUGACGGUACCAUCAAAG